UUCCUUUGUCAGGAUGAAGCUCAACGAGCUAUGGGGACUUCAUUAGAGAGAGACCCUAGAAGGUUCGAAGGAGAAGAAAGAGAAACAGAGAAAUAAAAUUUGGAAAAUAUCUGUCUAACCUUUUAUUUCUCAACUUGUUCAGUAUUUAUAUUUACAGGAAAAAUGUGUGUAAAAUAAAAAAAAUUAAUACUACACUUAUACAAUGCAUUGAAUAUAAAAGAAUAAGGAAUAAAGGAGACUGGUCCAGAUCAUAGUGUUGGGCCAGCUGUGUGUGCAGCAGACUGGGCUCUAAUACUCCCCUCAAGCUUGAGGGUGAUGAAACACCAAGCUUGCCAAGAAUACCAUAAUGCAGCUGGCUGGGUAAUGCUUUAGUCAUAAUAUCUGCUAGCUAUCCUGAAGAAAAGACAAAAUGCAAAGUAAGAAAACCAGCAGUGACGCACUCCCUCACAUAAUGGCAAUCAAUCUCGAUGUGUUUGGUUCGCUCAUAAAAAAUAGGGUUCUUGACUAUGUGGAAGGCAGUUUGACUGUCACAAUAGACAGGAACAAGAUAUAAAAUAACCAAACCAAGGUCACCCAAAAGCCUGACCAACUAAACAACGUCUGCAACCAGCUUCCUCAAUGCUCUAUAUUCAUCCUCAGCUGAAGACAAAGAGAUGGUAGGAUAUUUCUUACUCUUGCAGGACACAAGACUGCCACUAAGAGAUAUGUAAAACCUACUCACAGACUUGCGAGAGAUGGCACAAGAUCCCCAAUCAGAGUCAGAAAAUCCCACAAGAGACAAAUCAUCAGAACUAGAGAGCAGUAUACCUUGAGCAGGAUCAUUCAUAAGGUAUCUUAGAACAUGGAUAACUGCCAUCAUAUGAGGUACCUGGGGCUUCUGAAGAAACUGACUUAGGUAUUGAACAAAGAAAGAAAUAUCAGGUGUUGUAUGUUGGAGGAAAUUCAAUUUCCCAAUUAAUCUUCUGUAUAUAUUAGGAUCAGAAACAGGAGUACCCAUGUCCAUAGUAAGCUUAACAUAAGAAUCCAAAGGAGUAGUAACAGGGGAGAAGUGAUGAAAGUUGAAUUCUUGAAGGAGAUCAGUGGUGUACUUUUGUUGAUUCAUUAAGUAUCCUUGGGGAUGCUGAGAAAUUUCCAAACCUAGGAAGUAGUGCACCAAACCUAGAUCCUUGAUUUUAAAUUGAGAGUCCAAGAAUUGUUUUAAAGAGUUAAGUUCAGAAAUGUCAUCAACAACUAACAAUAUAUCAUCAACAUAGACUGCCAAUACAACUAGAGAAUCAGAAGAGGACUUUGUGAAGAGGGAAUAGUCAUUGAGACUAGAAAUGUAGCCUCUGGAGUGCAGUGCUUCAGACAAUUUAGAAAACCAUUGCCUAGAAGCCUGCCUGAGGCCAUAUAAAGACUUCUUGAGUCUAUAAAUAAAAGGAGAAGAUUCAGAAGUAGAAGAGACAUCCAUCUUAGGUGGGAUCUUUAUAUAAACUUCCUCAUGAAGGUCAUCAUGGAGAAAAACAUUGUUCACAUCCAACUGAAAAAUAGUCCAACCCAUUUUCACAACUAAGGCCAGGAGACAUUUGAUGGUUGUCAGCGUGACAACAGGUGAAGAGGUCUCAGUGAAGUCAAUACCUUCUCUCUGAGUAUCCCCUCUAAUAACAAGCCUUGUUUUGUAUAUCUCAAUGGAACCAUCUGCCCUUUGUUUAAUCUUGUAAACCCACUUACAAGGGAUGACCUUUUUGUGAGGAGGAAGGGGAACAAUGUCCCAAGUUUGAUUGGACUCAAGAGCCUGAAAUUCCUUUAGCAUUGUCUCUUGCCAAGCAGGAUGCGAAGCUGCCUGCUGGUAAUAUUGAGGUUCAUGCACAUGUAGCUAAGUUUAGGACACCUUAGAUAUUGCAGAAAUAGGAGUAAGAGGAAGGAUAGAGUUACAGACAUAGUCUUGAAGGUAGGAUGGUUGAAUGAUAGUUCUGGUGGAUUUUCUUAAAGCAGGAGCAAGUGGUGGAAGUGGAGAAGGCUGAUCCACACAAGGUGGAAUGGGGGCAGAAUAAGAAAGAAGGAGAAGGAAGAAGUGAGGCAGAGGAUGCAUCAGGAAUGUUUGUUUCAGCAAUAGGAAGGGAGGAAAUAUUAAAUGUUGUAGGCACUUCUGUUGCAUAAGUAGGAGCAGGAGCAGAAGAUGUAUCAAUAUCCACAAAAGGUGGAAAAGUGGAGGGAGGAGUGGUAGAAGAUGUUGUUGAACCAUAAGGGAAGAUGUGUUCAUGGAAUACCACAUCCCUAGAGUAAAAAAUAGAAUAAUUAGAAAGGUUCAUGAGUUUUUAACCCUUCUUGCCACCGGGAUAUCCUAAGAAAAGACUAUGUAUAGCUCUAGAUUAGAACUUGUAUCCCUUCCAAACUUGGGAGAAGUUGCAAAGCAUAAGGAACCAAAAGACUUUAAGUGAACAUAAGAAAGUGGAUUUCCAUGCAGUUUUUCAUAAGGAGAAAUGUUGUUUAAGACAGUUAGAGGCAUUCUAUUGAUCAGGUAGGUAGCAGUUAGUAUACAAUCACCCCAGAAUUUGCGAGGAAGUUUAGAUUGGAAAAAGAGAGCUCUAGAAACUUCCAAUAAAUGUUUAUGUUUUCUUUGCACAACACCAUUUUGUUGUGGUGUAUGUGGAAUAGUAGUUUGAUGUAGAAUACCUUGGUUGCUUAAGAAAGCAGUAGCUUUAGAGCUGCUACCAAGCUCAUAAGCAUUAUUAGACCUGAAAGUAUGGACUAAGGAUUGAAAAUGUGUUUUGACCAUAGAGGUGAAUGCUUUUAACACAGAAAGAGCAUUACCUUUACAAGAUAAAAGAUGGGUCCAGGUAGCUCUACUAUAGUCAUCAACUAAAGUUAAGAAGUAUAUAAAUCCAUUGUAUGUCCUAGUAUUAUAGGGUCACCAAACAUCAAUGUGAACCAGCUGAAAAGGAGCAGUGGAAUGAAUGUGGCUGUCAUAAAAAGGUAAUCUUUGUUGUCUAGCUACUGGAUAAAUAGAGCAUAUGAAAGACUGCUUUGAAGAAACUUUAUCAGACAAGAAUGAAAUAGAUAUCAUUAUAUGAAAGGCAUAUGCCCUAACCUUUGGUGUCAAAACAAAUCCAUUUUAUUCAUAGUAGAUGUCUGAUUACAUGGCAGAUUAUUUACAGAAAUUGGAAGAAAACAGACUUAUUGCAAGAAAUAGAAUUUGAAAGAACAGAAGAAACAUGUUGAGAUGGAAACAAUUCAGCAUUAGGAUGUAGAUAGUAUAGUCUUCCAGCAGCCUUACCAAUUACCGGUGGCCUCUUCAGAGAAGAGCCCUGUAAAGAACAAUUAAAUUUGGUAAGAAUAGCUAUACAAUUCAGCUGGGAUAUUAGUUGAUGUAUAGAUAUUAGAUUAAAAUGAAAGGAAGGCACAAGAAGGACAUUGAGUAAAGUUAUGUCAUGCCUGAGAUAUAAAGAGCCAGUUGACAACACUUUAACUUUAUAUCCAUUAGAUAGAGUGACAAGAAAUGGUUUAGGUAAAGGUAUAAGGUUGUAAAGUAAGUGUUUGUGUGGAGUCAUCUAAUUUAUUGCCCCUGAGUAUAAUAUCCAAGGAUUUACACCUAAUUGAGAAGAUGCACAUACAUGAAAAUCAGUAGAUUCUGCAGCAUAAUCGGUGAACAAACCUGCAAAAUGUGCAAAUCCAGAUUUCUCAACAUGAAGAUUGUCAAAUCCAGCACUAGAAGACACCUGGACUUGUUGGAAUAAAGUUAUUAGGUGAUGAUACUGUUCCUUGGUGAAACCAUGGGCAGAAUUCUCAGUAGAUGGUUGAGGAGAAACUGCAAACUGAUUGAUUGGGAUGUCAGACUGGACACAUGAGGCUGAUUUCUUGCCUUUGGUAAAUUUGAAAUCUGCAGGAAAAUCAUGUAAUAUAUAGCAUUUCUCCAUUGUGUGUCCAGGUUUCUUGCAGUAUUUGCAAGAAACAGAGUUGGGUUUCCUGGAGUUAAAGUUGAUCUUUGAUUGAAAUUUCUAUUUGGUGUUGUUGAGGAUACAGAGAAGGAGGAAGAUUCAUUAGAAAAAUUUGUAACUGAAGCUGGAGUUUCUCUUUGACUCUCAUCUUGUUGUAAGAGAGAGUAAGCUUUGCUUAUUGGUGGUAAGGGAUUUAUGAGCAUAAUAGCACUCUUCACAUUUGAAUAAGAGUCAUUUAGCCCAUUUAGGAAUUGAAAUAGUUGUUGAUCCUCUAUAAACUUGGGAAGAGCUCCACAAGAGCAUAUAGGGCCUACAUAUGAGGAAUUUAAUUUAUCCCAAAGACUCCUAAAUUUGGUAAAGUAGGUGGCAAUAUCAGAUGACCCUUGGAUAGUUGAACUGAUUUCUCUCUGAAUUUGAAGAUAUUUAAACCCAUUGGACUGUCCAAAUCUUUCAUUAAUGUCAGUCCAAACCUCCUUUGCAGCCCUAAAACACAUGACACUUGUGGCUAUGUCUAUGGAAACAGAGUUGAUAAUCCAAGACUCUCCCAAUAGUAAUAAAAAAGGAGAGUUGGCAGGAGGUUGGGCAAUUCUCCCAUCUAACAAACCUAAUUUAUUUUUAGCAGAAAGAGAAGUAAGCAUGCUACUUCUCCUCAAUACAAAACCAUGUCCAUUGAAGGGAACAUGUACUAAUUGGCUACCCGGAUUGUCUGAUGGGUACACAUAGAAAGGAUGAGAAGGAUCUAUUGUAAAGGGAGCAAAUCCUUCAGUAGUGGGAACUGAGGGUGAAGUGAUAUCAUCUCCAUGACUACCCGUAUUUUCUACUAACACAAUCUAAUCGACACAGUAAUAGACAAUAGGCUCAAAAAAUAACAUGCAAUCUGUCAUAUACAUGGAUCUCCAAACUACAUGACCUAAAUCACAUCAAUAUAAGUUUCAGAGUUGUAGAUUAGAACGGUAUUACCAACCUUCUACUCAAAACCAGAAGAAGUGAACAGAAACCAAACCCUAGCUUGAGAUUAGCCCCAAAUCGCUUGAAUUCAUUACGAAAUCAUGAAUUCCAGUCGACUUAAUUGAUAUAAGAAGAGAUUCCAGUAAAAAACCCAAAUUUUCUGUCCCGUAGUAGCGAAUUCACCGAGUUUUCGAACUUUACCCAAAGGACCGAUUUCAGUGAGAUCUUCAAUCGAUUUACCGUUGAAGAUGAAGCUUACAUGGCAAGGAAUCAAAAAUCCCGCUCUGAUACCUUGUCAGGAUGAAGCUCAACGAGCUAUGGUGACUCCAUUAGAAACAGACCCUAGAAGUUCGAGAGAGAAGAAAGAGAAACAGAGAAAUGAAAUUUGGAAAAUAUCCGUCUAACCUUUUAUUUCUCAACUUGUUCAGUAUUUAUAUUUACGGGAAAAAUGUGUGUAAAAUGAAAGAAUCAAUACUACACUUAUACAAUGCAUUGAAUAUAAAAGAAUAAGGAAUAAAGGAG
RNAcentral lists this long non-coding RNA (5387 nucleotides) under Nicotiana tabacum (common tobacco). Its description in RNAcentral is "long non-coding RNA (NTAB_LNC012961)". Lineage: Eukaryota; Viridiplantae; Streptophyta; Magnoliopsida; Solanales; Solanaceae. The record is from RNAcentral.